Molecule: ribosomal RNA, 399 nt
Filed under: Hyporthodus octofasciatus (eightbar grouper)
Lineage: Eukaryota; Metazoa; Chordata; Actinopteri; Perciformes; Serranidae
Description: partial 12S ribosomal RNA
Rfam family: Bacterial small subunit ribosomal RNA
Source: RNAcentral
GAUUAGAUACCCCACUAUGCUUUGCCCUAAACAUUGAUAGUUUAAUACAAGCACUAUCCGCCUGGGAACUACGAGCAUAGCUUAAAACCCAAGGACUUGGCGGUGCUUUAGACCCCCCUAGAGGAGCCUGUUCUAAAACCGAUAACCCCCGUUCAACCUCACCUUUUCUUGUUCCCCCCGCCUAUAUACCGCCGUCGUCAGCUUACCCUUUGAAGGCCCUUUAGUAAGCAUAAUUGGCACAGCCUAAAACGUCAGGUCGAGGUGUAGCGUAUGGAAAGGGAAGAAAUGGGCUACAUUCCCUGUUGCAGUGAAUUACGGAUAAUACCACUGAAACGUGUAUCUAGAAGGAGGAUUUAGCAGUAAGCAGAAAGUAGAGCGUUCUGCUGAAACCGGCCUGAA